GGGGCUGUAGCUCAGCUGGGAGAGCGCUGCCAUGGCAUGGCAGAGGUCAGGGGUUCGAGCCCCCUCAGCUCCA
This 73-nucleotide transfer RNA is filed under the name Solirubrobacteraceae bacterium. Its description in RNAcentral is "tRNA-Ala". It matches the Rfam family "tRNA". Rfam says of the family: Transfer RNA (tRNA) molecules are approximately 80 nucleotides in length. Lineage: Bacteria; Bacillati; Actinomycetota; Thermoleophilia; Solirubrobacterales; Solirubrobacteraceae. The record is from RNAcentral. RNAcentral also lists the same sequence under 2 other names.